AUACGGAGGAUCCGAGCGUUAUCCGGAUUUAUUGGGUUUAAAGGGUGCGCAGGCGGCCAUUUAAGUCAGCGGUUAAAUCGUGGGGCUCAACCCCAUUCUGCCGUUGAUACUGGGUGGCUUGAUUGCGGUCGAGGUUGGCGGAAUUCGUUGUGUAGCGGUGAAAUGCAUAGAUAUGACGAAGAACACCGAUUGCGUAGGCAGCUGACCAGACCGCAAAUGACGCUAAUGCACGAAAGUGCGGGGAUCGAACAGGAUUAGAUACCCUGGUAGUCCGCACAGUAAACGAUGAAUACUUGUUUUCGGCGAUAUAAUGUCGGAGGCAAAGCGAAAGCGAUAAGUAGUCCACCUGGGGAGUACGCCGGCAACGGUGAAACUCAAAUGAAUUGACGGG
This 391-nucleotide ribosomal RNA is filed under the name uncultured bacterium. RNAcentral's name for it is "partial 16S ribosomal RNA". It matches the Rfam family "Bacterial small subunit ribosomal RNA", at positions 523 to 917 of the family's 1533-position model. The record is from RNAcentral.